Molecule: ribosomal RNA, 492 nt
Filed under: uncultured bacterium
Lineage: Bacteria
Description: partial 16S ribosomal RNA
Rfam family: Bacterial small subunit ribosomal RNA
Source: RNAcentral
AUUGAACGCUGGCGGCAUGCUUUACACAUGCAAGUCGAACGGUAACAGGCCUUCGGGUGCUGACGAGUGGCGAACGGGUGAGUAAUGCAUCGGAACGUGCCCAGAGGUGGGGGAUAACGCAGCGAAAGCUGUGCUAAUACCGCAUGUGAUCUGAGGAUGAAAGCGGGGGACCAGGCAGCAAUGUUUGGCCUCGCGCCUUUGGAGCGGCCGAUGUCAGAUUAGGUAGUUGGUGGGGUAAAGGCCUACCAAGCCGACGAUCUGUAGCUGGUCUGAGAGGACGACCAGACACACUGGGACUGAGACACGGCCCAGACUCCUACGGGGGGCAGCAGUGGGGAAUUUUGGACAAUGGGGGCAAGCCUGAUCCAGCAAUGCCGCGUGCGGGAAGAAGGCCUUCGGGUUGUAAACCGCUUUUGUACGGAACGAAAAGGCUCUGGCUAAUACCUGGGGCUGAUGACGGUACCGGAAGAAUAAGCACCGGCUAACUACGUG